AGAGUUUGAUCCUGGCUCAGAUUGAACGCUGGCGGCAUGCCUAACACAUGCAAGUCGAACGCGAAAGCCCUUCGGGGUGAGUAGAGUGGCGGACGGGUGAGUAACGCGUGGGAAUCUGCCCUGCAGUGGGGGACAACCCGAGGAAACUCGGGCUAAUACCGCAUACGUCUUACGGGAGAAAGGGGGCCUUCGGGCUCUCGCUGCAGGAUGAGCCCGCGUCCGAUUAGCUUGUUGGUGGGGUAACGGCCCACCAAGGCGACGAUCGGUAGCUGGUCUGAGAGGAUGAUCAGCCACACUGGGACUGAGACACGGCCCAGACUCCUACGGGAGGCAGCAGUGGGGAAUAUUGGACAAUGGGCGAAAGCCUGAUCCAGCAAUGCCGCGUGUGUGAAGAAGGCCUGCGGGUUGUAAAGCACUUUCAGUGGGGAAGAAAAGCCGGAGGUUAAUACCCUUUGGUCUUGACGUUACCCACAGAAGAAGCACCGGCUAACUCCGUGCCAGCAGCCGCGGUAAUACGGAGGGUGCAAGCGUUAAUCGGAAUCACUGGGCGUAAAGCGCACGUAGGCGGCGAGGUAAGUCAGAUGUGAAAGCCCCGGGCUCAACCUGGGAACUGCAUUUGAUACUGCUUGGCUUGAGUAUGGUAGAGGGGGGUGGAAUUCCAGGUGUAGCGGUG
RNAcentral lists this ribosomal RNA (673 nucleotides) under uncultured bacterium. RNAcentral describes it as "bacterial SSU rRNA". It matches the Rfam family "Bacterial small subunit ribosomal RNA", at positions 8 to 683 of the family's 1533-position model. The record is from RNAcentral.